GAUGAACGCUGGCGGCGUGCCUAAUACAUGCAAGUCGAGCGAACAGACGAGGAGCUUGCUCCUCUGACGUUAGCGGCGGACGGGUGAGUAACACGUGGAUAACCUACCUAUAAGACUGGGAUAACUUCGGGAAACCGGAGCUAAUACCGGAUAAUAUAUUGAACCGCAUGGUUCAAUAGUGAAAGACGGUUUUGCUGUCACUUAUAGAUGGAUCCGCGCCGCAUUAGCUAGUUGGUAAGGUAACGGCUUACCAAGGCGACGAUGCGUAGCCGACCUGAGAGGGUGAUCGGCCACACUGGAACUGAGACACGGUCCAGACUCCUACGGGAGGCAGCAGUAGGGAAGCUUCCGCAAUGGGCGAAAGCCUGACGGAGCAACGCCGCGUGAGUGAUGAAGGUCUUCGGAUUGUAAAACUCUGUUAUUAGGGAAGAACAAAUGUGUAAGUAACUAUGCACGUCUUGACGGUACCUAAUCAGAAAGCCACGGCUAACUACGUG
This 497-nucleotide ribosomal RNA is filed under the name uncultured bacterium. RNAcentral describes it as "partial 16S ribosomal RNA". It matches the Rfam family "Bacterial small subunit ribosomal RNA", at positions 28 to 507 of the family's 1533-position model. The record is from RNAcentral.